AUUUAUAUAGUUUAAUAAAACAUUACAUUUUCAUUGUAAAAUUAAAAUUUUCUUUUUUAUAAAUA
RNAcentral lists this transfer RNA (65 nucleotides) under Ochthebius sp. IBE<ESP> AN77. Its description in RNAcentral is "tRNA-Glu". The record is from RNAcentral. Lineage: Eukaryota; Metazoa; Arthropoda; Insecta; Coleoptera; Hydraenidae.